GACGAACGCUGGCGGCGUGCUUAACACAUGCAAGUCGAACGGUGAAGCGCCUUCCUUUUUGGUGGGUGUGGAUGAGUGGCGAACGGGUGAGUAACACGUGAGUAACCUGCCCCCUUCUUCUGGAUAACCGCAUGAAAGUGUGGCUAAUACGGGAUAUUCUGGGUCUGUCGCAUGAUGGGUCUGGGAAAGAUAUUGUUUCGGUGGGGGAUGGGCUCGCGGCCUAUCAGCUUGUUGGUGGGGUGAUGGCCUACCAAGGCGGUGACGGGUAGCCGGCCUGAGAGGGUGGACGGUCACACUGGGACUGAGACACGGCCCAGACUCCUACGGGAGGCAGCAGGGGGGAAUAUUGCACAAUGGGCGCAAGCCUGAAGCAGCGACGCCGCGGGAGGGAUGGAGGCCUUCGGGUUGUGAACCUCUUUCGCCAGUGAAGCAGGCCUGCCUCGUUUGUGGGUGGGUUGACGGUAGCUGGAUAAGAAGCGCCGGCUAACUACGUG
This 494-nucleotide ribosomal RNA is filed under the name uncultured bacterium. RNAcentral describes it as "partial 16S ribosomal RNA". It matches the Rfam family "Bacterial small subunit ribosomal RNA", at positions 28 to 507 of the family's 1533-position model. The record is from RNAcentral.